Molecule: long non-coding RNA, 331 nt
Filed under: Homo sapiens (human)
Lineage: Eukaryota; Metazoa; Chordata; Mammalia; Primates; Hominidae
Description: HSALNT0245987
Source: RNAcentral
CCUAAAGCACACGCUGUAGAAUUCUGACCCAGCAGGCAGCAUGGCGGCCUGUAAAACACAAGGACACUCUUAUUUAACAUUGGCGGUGACAUCCAGAAGGCGAGGAAGACAGUGGUUUAUUUACCUGUAUCCUGGAAGGCUCAGACUGGGAAAUGGGGAUACUGAAGCCCACUUGGUGUAGGCUGCAAAGCUGUGCAUGCUACUUAAUACGACUUGUAACCUCCUGAGUCCUGAAAACUGUGAUGCUCUGGAUACAGUUCCCUUUGAACGUCUGCUCUACAGCCCGGAGCUAAAUCUGCAUCCCCCUUGAAAGCUGAUGGUGGACGGGGAU